Long non-coding RNA from Pteropus alecto (black flying fox), 428 nucleotides. RefSeq lists it as uncharacterized. The record is from RefSeq and is a predicted model, not a curated record. The transcript is spliced from 2 exons. NCBI's taxonomy places the organism in Eukaryota, Metazoa, Chordata, Mammalia, Chiroptera, Pteropodidae.
GGCUGCACUUUCUCUGAGAUCUCGGCUCUGCGAUUCCUGGGCAGGGAGAAAGGGUACAGGUUCAUUUUUCUGACGACAGCCGUCACAAACAGUGCUCGCCUCAUGGAGGCCAUGAGUGAGGUGAAAGCCUGAUGUUUUCCCGGCCAGUGUCGAAGCCUCCACACCUGCCCCAAGGGGAUCCAGGGUUUGGGCUCCCAGCUGAUAAUACAGUGUCCCCCACCCACUCCGCAAAGCCCUGGGGAGCACAGAACUCGUCUGGGGUUUAGAGAACACAUCCGAGGAGAGAGUUCCCUUCCUGCCUCCGGGAUAUUUCUCUUUUUCGUUUAUGAAGUGCAACCCAUGCUGUCAAGAUACUGGGCAGGAGGAGGAUCUUUUGCUAAAUCCCGUUCGAGUAUCAUUGUGAAUAAAGCUGCUGUUCUCAAGUGUAA